Long non-coding RNA from Dromaius novaehollandiae (emu), 564 nucleotides. RefSeq lists it as uncharacterized. Lineage: Eukaryota; Metazoa; Chordata; Aves; Casuariiformes; Dromaiidae. The transcript has 2 exons. The record is from RefSeq and is a predicted model, not a curated record.
UCUGGCCUCUGCAGGCGACUCGUCCACAAGGCGGCAAAGCCUGCCUCAGCCUGCAGCCUCAACCCAGCAGGAGCCUUGUGCUACAGAAGAACUGGCAAUGCCCUUGCCUUCUUCUAGGAGCGGGUGAAGCAAAGUUGAACACCAGUGAGAGGUAAGGAGAUAGUUAUUGCCCAGAAUAAACUCAGUUUUCAAAUCUGAAUUCCACAUGUUUGGUAAAUAAGCUGACUGAUGGAGGACUUGAACAACCUGGCAAAGGGAUACUCAGACUAACAGAAAGAAAGGAGAAAGGAAGAGAAGGGCAUACUCAUGUAACAAAGAGGUGAAAUUCAACUAAGUAAAGGAGAAAACAGCUGCAUGAGGUUUUGGAUGAUUGGACUUGCACAGGAGGAGAAUCGUGGAAACUCAAAGAACCUCUGAACUAUCGCCAGAGACUACUCAAGAGCAGCGAGGAAUGAAAGAAGGAAUCUAUCUGUGUUUUAUUUUAUAUGACCCUAUAUAAGUUGUUUUUCUUGUCUUGUAUCAUGGUUUGCAUCACAAUAAGAUAAUAGUGACUUACAUGCAGAA